AGUAAAUGUAUUCGGGCCAUGAUAAUCACGACCCUAAGCUAGUUUUAAGUAAUUUCAUGAAAGAAGCAACAAUGUCCCUCAAUUUGUUUCAUUCCUCUUAUCUUUAUUACCUUCAUACUAGAGGCUCAUGGCUGGAACCCGUUUCCUUCAAAUUUGACAUAUAGUUGCUUCCUUGACUAAAGAUUUGAAAUACAUAAUGGUUUACCAUUAAAAAUAGUCAAAGAAAUCUGCCUCAGGUAACAGAAUGAAAGUAGGAUGCUAUAAUAUCAAAAGAAAUGAAUGUAUACAUAUAUUUCUUCCAAUUAUCCAGAAAAAGAACAACUAAUUGUUGUUUCCCGACUUUCCUCUUAUGUAAUUAUAUGUUAUUUCAAUCUGCUCAUGAACUUGUACCACCAUUUGAAUGAAAUCAUUUUUAAUCCUUCUAGUAUCAACUUUCGAAUCUGCAGAUUCUCUAUGUCAACAAGUUUGUGUUUAUUGUCUAUUUCUAAUUUUUUUUUUGCAUGUAAUUUAUUAGCUUUCUACUUUUCUUUCAAUGCCCUUAAUUUUGUGUUAUGAUAUGUUUUAUAUCUCAUCGACUCUUUUCAUAAGCUUCUUGUUGCUUUUAUAGUUUUUCCUCUUUAUGGUUUAUUUAUCCAUAUAAAAGUCUCAUAGAUUCCAAGGCGUUUUUAUGGGUCUACACAGGCUUUCACUUGCAAAAAUAAGUUGCCAGAGCAGUGGGGCACCCACUACGGCUUCCCUAGUUUACAAGGAUACGGGGAUGGGGCUUGCCAGGCAAUCAUGUUAGGAUACCGAAUCUCUAUAUGCGGAAAAAAAAAAAAAAAAAAAAAAAAAAAAAAAAAAAAAAAAAAAAAAAAAAAAUUAGUUAUUACUUGAAACAUGUCUGCAAAAAGUUGAUAUAUGUCGAAAUAUUACUUAAAACCUCUUUCCGACGGAUAUCCACUUUAUUUUAAUAAUUUUAUUUCAGGAGAUUCUACUAAGAAACGGGUGAUCGGUUCGUUGAGCCUCAACAGAUUAUUUACUUGCUGCCAUUGGUGUAUUCAAAUUUGAUGAUAUUUCAGGAUCAACGGAUGGAAAAAAAAACCUUAUUAUAUUGGAAUAGGUAUCUGUUUCAAUCUUUUUGUUGAAGUUGUACCAUUCGAGGAUCCCAGAGAAAAAAAUUGAACUCCCACUUGUUUUCAUGAAUUAUCCUCUAAAAUCAUCCUGUUGUCUGUAAUGUGUUUGUGUAGUUAAAUCAUGAUAAUUUUGUCAUUAAAUUACUUAAGCUAUAGGUAUUAAGAAAUUUUGGUAUCUAGAUGUUUAUUAUUGAACUUAAUCACUGAUGUAACUCACAUCCUUUUUAAUACAUGGAAACAAGUGGAAAUUGGUUUGUUUGUUGGAUGUGAAUUAGAUAAGCAACAACUCAUGGCUCUUCUAAAAUAUUAAAAGGUUUUUAUGAAGAAGAAGAAAGCUCUAUAGGAAACUGAAACAGAGGAAGGAAGGUAGAGACACUAACAAAGAGCUUGCCUGCAAUGCAGAAAUUCUUCAACAAGAAGACCAAUGAUGACAUCUUUGGUAAAUGGGUGACAAUUAACAAUAUUAUUUUAGUUUUGUUGUUUUCAUUCAGCUUUUAAAGUUGACAUUAUGCAAUCGUUUUGACUUUUUUAUAUAUGCAUAGAAUAUUAACAAGGAGCGACUGCAAAAAAUGCUACUGGUACAUGAAAUUCAUAAUAUGUGCUCUUUCUCUGAUAUCGUCCGCCCUCCUUGUGUUUUCUUAGGGCUUGAUUAAAUCGUUCACAAGCACCAAUUUUAGAUUUCUGUUAAUUCUCAAAACAACUUAUAUUACCUUUUAGUUAGCUAAAGACAGAAUCGAUAUAUAAAAGUGUGAGCGGUGAUGAGAUUAAUCAAUUUUGAGAUUGGUGAAUAGAAAGAGAGACAUACAUGUUUCGUUGAUGGAAGUAGAUGUUGUUCUUUAGGCUAAGCCGGCAACAAGAGUUCUUGUAGCUUCGAUUUGAGGUAGGAACAACUAAAUAAAUCAAUUUACAGAGGUUCAAGAACUUUAUUGCAAUUGAGGCGGCAAAAGGUAGGCUAGCGAUGCAGCCUAGAGGAGAUGAGCUUCAAGGUGGGGGCCGACACUCAUAUCAAAUCAUAAGAUAUGAUGUUCGUCCCCUUGAUAUAGAAAAAGCACCGGCAAGACGGUGGAGGAAAGAGUGAUUAUACCUCAGGGCUCAAGCUCAACUGCAAAGUCAGCUGCUCUGGAUAAUUAUAAAAAGACCAUGUUAAAGACAAGGUGAGAAAAAUCUAGAUACAACAAUCUAUUUGUAGAAGAUAUGUACGCGGGUACAAAUAACCUUUUUCACGUCGUAUCUUAUGAUUUGAUAUCUUACGAUUCACCCGCGUACAUAUCUUCUAGAACCAACGAUUCACGUCGUGAAUCCUUUAAGUCUCACAUCAUAUCUUAGAUUAAACUGAACCUUCAAUUGGUCACAUGGAGAAGAAGGAGAAGAAAAGCGAGACGAAGAUAAUAUAGUAUGGCGUUAAGAAGAAGAGACCUAGAGGCAAUUACUUACACCAAUAAGGAGGAGAAGAAAAAUCGAUUGGACCAAAAAAUAAGCCGCUCACUUCAAUUGGACCAAAAUCCGUCAGCUUUGGGGGAAACAAACCAGAAGAGGCAAGUAGGCAGCCAAGGUGCUGUGCACCGGAUACGUUAAAAGAGGCCGCCCGACAGCCUUCCGAUUGGGGGAGUACGUGAAGUCGAUGAAAGACCUCGCUGAUGGUAAUCAUACGUCACAGGUGUUGCUCACCGCCAUAUACCAUAAAAUCACC
Molecule: non-coding RNA, 2802 nt
Organism: Lactuca sativa (garden lettuce)
Lineage: Eukaryota; Viridiplantae; Streptophyta; Magnoliopsida; Asterales; Asteraceae
Source: RefSeq, a predicted model, not a curated record